Molecule: ribosomal RNA, 484 nt
Filed under: uncultured bacterium
Lineage: Bacteria
Description: partial 16S ribosomal RNA
Rfam family: Bacterial small subunit ribosomal RNA
Source: RNAcentral
AUUGAACGCUGGCGGCAGGCCUAACACAUGCAAGUCGAGCGGAUGAAGGGAGCUUGCUCCUGGAUUCAGCGGCGGACGGGUGAGUAAUGCCUAGGAAUCUGCCUGGUAGUGGGGGAUAACGUCCGGAAACGGGCGCUAAUACCGCAUACGUCCUGAGGGAGAAAGUGGGGGAUCUUCGGACCUCACGCUAUCAGAUGAGCCUAGGUCGGAUUAGCUAGUUGGUGGGGUAAAGGCCUACCAAGGCGACGAUCCGUAACUGGUCUGAGAGGAUGAUCAGUCACACUGGAACUGAGACACGGUCCAGACUCCUACGGGAGGCAGCAGUGGGGAAUAUUGGACAAUGGGCGAAAGCCUGAUCCAGCCAUGCCGCGUGUGUGAAGAAGGUCUUCGGAUUGUAAAGCACUUUAAGUUGGGAGGAAGGGCAGUAAGUUAAUACCUUGCUGUAUUGACGUUACCAGCAGAAUAAGCACCGGCUAACUUCGUG